This 440-nucleotide ribosomal RNA is filed under the name uncultured bacterium. RNAcentral's name for it is "partial 16S ribosomal RNA". It matches the Rfam family "Bacterial small subunit ribosomal RNA", at positions 338 to 795 of the family's 1533-position model. The record is from RNAcentral.
CCUACGGGUGGCAGCAGUGGGGAAUAUUGCACAAUGGGGGAAACCCUGAUGCAGCGACGCCGCGUGGGUGAAGAAGUAAUUCGUUAUGUAAAGCUCUAUCAGCAGGGAAGAAAAUGACGGUACCUGAGUAAGAAGCCCCGGCUAACUACGUGCCAGCAGCCGCGGUAAUACGGAGGGGGCAAGCGUUAUCCGGAUUUACUGGGAGGAAAGGGAGCGUAGGCGGGAUUGCAAGUCUGGAGUGAAAGGCGGGGGCUCAACCCCAGGACUGCUCUUGAAACUGUAAGGCUGGAGUGCAGGAGAGGUAAGUGGAAUUCUUAGUGUAGGGGUGAAAUGCGUAGAUAUCAGGAGGAACACUAGUGGCGAAGGCGACUUACUGGAAUGUAACUGACGUUGAGGCGCGAAAGCGUGGGGAGCAAACAGGAUUAGAUACCCCUGUAGUC